GUGCCAGCAGCCGCGGUAAUACGGAGGGUGCAAGCGUUAAUCGGAAUUACUGGGCGUAAAGCGCGCGUAGGUGGCUUGAUAAGCCGGUUGUGAAAGCCCCGGGCUCAACCUGGGAACGGCAUCCGGAACUGUCAGGCUAGAGUGCAGGAGAGGAAGGUAGAAUUCCCGGUGUAGCGGUGAAAUGCGUAGAGAUCGGGAGGAAUACCAGUGGCGAAGGCGGCCUUCUGGACUGACACUGACACUGAGGUGC
RNAcentral lists this ribosomal RNA (250 nucleotides) under uncultured bacterium. RNAcentral describes it as "partial 16S ribosomal RNA". It matches the Rfam family "Bacterial small subunit ribosomal RNA", at positions 505 to 754 of the family's 1533-position model. The record is from RNAcentral.